Molecule: ribosomal RNA, 498 nt
Filed under: uncultured bacterium
Lineage: Bacteria
Description: partial 16S ribosomal RNA
Rfam family: Bacterial small subunit ribosomal RNA
Source: RNAcentral
GACGAACGCUGGCGGCGUGCCUAAUACAUGCAAGUCGAGCGGACGGAUGGGAGCUUGCUCCCAGACCGUCAGCGGCGGACGGGUGAGUAACACGUGGGCAACCUGCCUGUAAGACUGGGAUAACUCCGGGAAACCGGGGCUAAUACCGGAUAACUCUUUCCCUCACAUGAGGGAAAGCUGAAAGAUGGCAUCUCGCUAUCACUUACAGAUGGGCCCGCGGCGCAUUAGCUAGUUGGUGAGGUAACGGCUCACCAAGGCGACGAUGCGUAGCCGACCUGAGAGGGUGAUCGGCCACACUGGGACUGAGACACGGCCCGGACUCCUACGGGAGGCAGCAGUAGGGAAUCUUCCGCAAUGGACGAAAGUCUGACGGAGCAACGCCGCGUGAGUGAUGAAGGUUUUCGGAUCGUAAAACUCUGUUGUCAGGGAAGAACAAGUACCGGAGUAACUGCCGGUACCUUGACGGUACCUGACCAGAAAGCCACGGCUAACUACGUG